This 274-nucleotide ribosomal RNA is filed under the name uncultured bacterium. RNAcentral's name for it is "partial 16S ribosomal RNA". It matches the Rfam family "Bacterial small subunit ribosomal RNA", at positions 523 to 796 of the family's 1533-position model. The record is from RNAcentral.
AUACGGAGGGUGCAAGCGUUAAUCGGAAUUACUGGGCGUAAAGAGUACGUAGGCGGUUUGUUAAGUUAGAUGUGAAAGCCCCGGGCUUAACCUGGGAACUGCAUUUAAAACUGGCAAACUUGAGUUGGGUAGAGGGAAGUGGAAUUUCAGGUGUAGCGGUGAAAUGCGUAGAGAUCUGAAGGAACACCAGUGGCGAAGGCGACUUCCUGGACUCAAACUGACGCUGAGGUACGAAAGCGUGGGUAGCAAACGGGAUUAGAUACCCCAGUAGUCC